RNAcentral lists this ribosomal RNA (468 nucleotides) under uncultured bacterium. RNAcentral describes it as "partial 16S ribosomal RNA". It matches the Rfam family "Bacterial small subunit ribosomal RNA", at positions 28 to 507 of the family's 1533-position model. The record is from RNAcentral.
GACGAACGCUGGCGGCGUGCUUAACACAUGCAAGUCGAACGGUGAUGCUCCAGGUGGCUGGUGUGAAUCAGUGGCGAACGGGUGAGUAACACGUGAGCAACCGGCCCUAGACUCUGGAAUAGGCUCUGGAAACGGCGUCUAAGACUGUAUACGAAACGAGCCCGCGUUGACAGGGUUGGGAAUUUUGUUCGGGUUGGGAUGGGCGCGCGGCCUAUCAGCUUGUUGGUUAGGUAAUGGCUCGCCAAGGCGGCGACGGGUAGCCGGCCUGAGAGGGCGACCGGCCACACUGGGACUGAGACACGGACCAGACUCCUACGGGAGGCAGCAGUGGGGAAUAUUGCACAAUGGGCGAAAGCCUGAUGCAGCGACGCCGCGUGAGGGAUGACGGCCUUCGGGUUGUAAACCUCUUCCAGCAGGGAAGCAGCGAAAGUGACGGUACCUGCAGAAGAAGCACCGGCUAACUACGUG